AGAUCCUGAUAAUAUUCCCUCCAUAUUCUUUCCCGAUGUUUGAAAAAUAAAUAAGAGUGAGAAAAUGCAGAUCGAACAAGACGACCUCUCAUCUAAAUUCUUCAAUUAAGCUGCCCUUUUAUCAGAUCACAUGUUUGCCAAAUCAGAUGGAUUGCUGAUGAUCUCAUCUCCUCCGCAAAAGUUAUUUUGCCCAGGUUCCUUCGAUUCUGUUGCAUUUAAUGUGGAAUUGAAGCUGAGAUGGUUUCUGAUGUUUUAAGCUUUGAAUUAUGAUUUGUCUCAUUUCAUUUUCUUCUCUAACCAACCUGCUUGAUCACAAUUCCUGGUGUGGGUUGUAUGUGAACUUGGGGAGUCAUACAGUCAACUUCAAUGGCUGCUUGGUACAAAGUCACUCAGUAAACACCUCAAAUUGCAUUCUCUCUCUUGAUUUCAAUCAUAUUCACAUCUUACAUUAUUAGAAUUCAUUAAACAGCACAAAUGAGAAACAUUCUUUCUCUUGAUUUCAAUCAUAUUCACAUCUUACAUUAGUAUUCAUUAAACAGCACAAAUGGCAAACAUUCUUUCUCUUGAUUCCAAUCAUAUUCACAUCUUACAUUAGUAUUCAUUAAACAGCACAAAUGGCAAACAUUCUUUCUCUUGAUUUCAAUCAUAUUCACAUCUUACCUUGUCGUUUCUGUAUAGACCACACCAGCAUACACAUGGACUCUGGUGAUAUGCCCACUUUACAGUAAAUCAAUACCUUUAACUUACUAGCCAACAAACAAUUGCCAAUUGAACUAAAGAAUGCCCAUCCUUGAUUUCAAAACCCCUUCCAGGCGCCAAGAACUUGGUCGAAUAUCUCAGCUACGAGCUCUCUAUCUGCACAUUGUAGAAAGUCUCUGAAAUCAUCUCGGAUAUCAAAGAUCUUGCCGAACUUCACAAGAUACAGCAAGCAGCUGGUCUUGAGUUUUGGCAGAUGAUACAGAGUGGCAUUCUGGAGCCUCUCCAGCACAUUUGUGGUGUCAAUAUCCUCCAGCAGGCUCUCGUGGCAAGCUUCUUUGAGGUCUGAAAUCUCGUACUUAUGAGCUGCGUGAAGAAGGGACAGCCUGUGGGGCAAGAAUUCUUCCUUGUUUAUAUUUCCAUACAUGUAGUUCAGUAAAGCUCUACAGGCUUCAAUUGACAUCUCCGAAAUGUUUAUGACAGCUGUUUCCUUCCCGUUGAGUUUGUGCAAGAACAUGCUGCGGAUAACAGGAGACCUGGAAGCAAGAAUGGCCCGAUGCGCUGAGAUGCUACCAUCAGAUGCAUUGAUCAUUAUAUCAGUUUGGAUGCCUUCAGACAGCAUUCGACCAAGUAAUGCAAGAGCCUUAUGAUUAGACUGUCUACAAGCGAGCCCUCUACUCCAAAUCGAGCAAGCCUCUCCCCCCUGUGCAUUACAACCGAUCUUGAAAGGAUCGGAUUUCCUGUAGGUGGAGGCCAAAUCGUCGAUCCGCCAUUGAGCGAGACGCGAUGUCGUCUCGACCUGAUAAGCAGCGGCGCCGAUCAUCCUGGAGAAGACAAGCGCCGCCGUGAUAUCAUGGAUGCAGUCCAAAAUACCUUCCAAGAAGUGAUCGCCGAGCUUUCCCAGCUUUGCUUGUCUCUGCUUUCCUCAUAUAUUUACUCACUUCUCACUCACACCUCUCUCUCUCUCUACACUAUUUUGUUCUUUAUCAGGGUGAAGAGAAUGGAUAUCUCACAGAGACUACGAGGUAGCCGGCAAGCCAGGUUAUUGUUGAUCGUAACUAUAUUACUUCAUUGAUAUUCAAGUAUUUGCGUUGGCUCUGUUUCUCUGUUCUCUCUUUGUAUUUGUAGAGAGAGAGAGAGAGAGAGAGAGUGGUGUUUGCUUAGUUGAUUUGUUUGCUUAUACUUCACUUGAGGUUGGUUGACGGCUGAUUUAUUUAUGUUGGGGAAACUCCUGUUCCCUAAUUCGAGUGACAAAUGUUAUCCUUUUUUAAGGCUCAACCUCAACGUAUACUUAAUUAAUUACUUUUACGUUUUAGUAUUUUCACCUCUCA
Salvia miltiorrhiza (redroot sage) is the source of this 2027-nucleotide long non-coding RNA. RefSeq lists it as uncharacterized. The record is from RefSeq and is a predicted model, not a curated record. The transcript has 3 exons. NCBI's taxonomy places the organism in Eukaryota, Viridiplantae, Streptophyta, Magnoliopsida, Lamiales, Lamiaceae.